UGGGCCAUACAAUCAGAUCAACACCGGUCGGAAACCAAUCUACGACGCUGCCUCGCCCUGUCCGCCUCGCCACAAAUCGGUAGAAGAGGAGGUGGACGACGAGGACGCGGUGUAAGAGACGAGAGCCAUCGCCUCCUGCUGGACCAGCACCAGCAGACUUCCUCGCCGACUAUCAUACGGGGACAGCGGCCGGGGCAAGUUCAGGGGAGGCGCUUCCUGGGCUGGUCGGCUGACAUCCCGCGGGGGGCGGCCGGCAGCGGCGACCUGAGCGAGAGUCAUCGGGCAAGGAAGCUGUAAGGAGGACGUCCAGCCUCAGCCUUCAUGUUAGUUAUUGUAGCCUGUAUGUAUAUCUCCGUCAGAUCGAUCAAUAUUUUGAUAGGAAUCCGUCCCAGUGAUGGUUCGUUCCAUCCCAAUGUUUUGUUGUGACACUUUUACAAGAUUUAUGUGUGGAGAAAAGAAAGUAAGGCCACCAUGGCAUCCGUUAGUUACCGGAAAAAAAAAUCAGAGAACCGCAGGAAAAGAGGAGCUGCAGAUUCAGAGUCUACGUGAUAUCUCUGCCAGAUUGCUACAAUGUUCGUGCAGGUACGCUUCUUGCUCCUUUUUGAGAGUAGCAGGUAAUGCAAUCGCAGGUUUGUAAUGCUCAAUUCCUACCGUGUCUUCACUAUCAUCUCAGUGGAGAUCGAAAAUCGAAACCAUGUCAUUCAUGUAGUACUGAAAUUUCAAAUCCCUCCCUCCGUCAUUCAUGUCUGUUUGUACCCACAAUCCCACAUGCUCCUGCCAGAUGGGCUCCAUGGCACUCCAUCAAUAUUAUAUUGGAACGUUGUGUUGAUGGAUUCAUAGAUGGUUUGUGAUAUAAUCAUAUAAAGAGUCUCGAAUUACUUUUCGAGCCCUAUGAUCUCUUCUGUACAGGGUCGUCCUCAGCCUAAUGUUAUUCUUAUCAUUAUAUAUGCUCUGUGAUACAGGUGUUGAGGCAGGGAAAAAGCAGCAAGAGAGGUAUUGGCACUUCAGAAAAGGGUGUUGACUGUUCUGAAUUAAGCCAAACAUGAAAUCUGAUUGAGGUUCUCUGAUGCAAGGGCUCUGGGUCAUCAGCUUCGGCAAGUGGAGGUACAAGUUCGGGCAUGACGAGCUUUAUUUCAUAAAAACGUGACUUUGAUGUUUGAAUAUUCCUUCUAAUCUUUUUAAUGAUAACGAGGCUCUCUUGAUAGAAUGUGAAUUUUUCCCUUUGUUUUGUUAGCUUUUAUGCUUUAUUGUGUUCUUCGUCAAACACAAAUCGCUACCGACAGGGACUGGCAUGGACGCCAUGGACUUUCACAACACGGCCUUCAGCACAGUUCCAACGUGCUCUGCUCCUUGGACUCUGUCUGUCUGCACAACGUCAACAACAGCCUGAUGGUGCCUCUGGGCCAUGGCAUGGCAGGACAUGCAGGUCCCGAUUCAAUGGAGACAUGUGGAGACGCUGGCAUGUCGCACGCUCGCUGGACACACAAGAGCAGCCACAUGGUGACUGUCUUCACGGGAUCACGGGAGUUUUCUUUCUACCAAGAGCGCCAGCUGCCUGAAGGGACAAAACUAUGGAGGGGCGGUGAAGAGAUGAUGUUGAAGUACUACGUGUCGUGAGUUCCAGCGGCACAAACAUGCUAGCCACGUCUAGCUCUGUCUCGGUGCUUCCACUAUUCAUUAAUUUUAGUUCGUGCAUGAUAUCUACCAUGUUCUUUGAAUUACUAGCAAAUUUGCCCGUGCUUUGCAACGGGAGAAAAACUAUUAGAUUUUUUGGAGGGUAAAACUAUUAGAUUAUACAGGUGUGAUAGAAUAAUAAAAAAGUCUGAAUCAAAUGCCCGGAUGAGAUAAGGACUUUUAAAAUGUCAUUUUCACAAA
Molecule: long non-coding RNA, 1875 nt
Organism: Triticum aestivum (bread wheat)
Lineage: Eukaryota; Viridiplantae; Streptophyta; Magnoliopsida; Poales; Poaceae
Exons: 2
Source: RefSeq, a predicted model, not a curated record